Molecule: long non-coding RNA, 2105 nt
Filed under: Citrus x clementina
Lineage: Eukaryota; Viridiplantae; Streptophyta; Magnoliopsida; Sapindales; Rutaceae
Description: Citrus clementina (C. clementina) long non-coding RNA (CCLE_LNC005639)
Source: RNAcentral
UAGGUAAUUAAUUAUGGUUUCUUAUCUGUUUCUUUGCAAAUAAAUCAAACCUACUUCAGGAAACGAAAGAGAUUAAUAAGUUGUUUUACUUUCUCUAAGUAGUCCCCUUCAAGUGCACCAACAGCUAUAUAUAAUAUUAUUAUUUUUUAAAACGUACGAAAUAUACGUCUUUCGAUCUUUUUCGUGAUUUACUUGCAUUGAUAUAAAAUUGGACUGCAGGCCCCAUAAAGUUAGAAUUAUUGCAUGCACGCAUUGACGAAUAAGAGAAGUUAAAUAGUUAUAUAAUCUCAUUAAAUGGUUUGAUUUGUAAUUUAAUUAUAAUUUACACUUGAAAACGACCUCAAUAUUGGACGUACAGACAAAAUUCUACGCUUGAAGACUUGAAGUUCAAGCCAUGCAUUAAAUUUAACAGCAAGGACACUUGGGGUCAAAACUAAUCAUCUUACCUAAAAAGAAAAUUGAUGAUCAAGAAUAAAUUAACAACGAGAUAGUAUUGAGAAGUACAAAAUUAAGUUACAUAAACUACGUUUAUGCCAACAACGAUUGACUCACACUCACCUUUGUCUCACUUAUAGUACGUUUCUUUGUUCAUGUGUCUUCCUUUAUAUAUAUAUAUAUAUAUAUAUAUAGACAUGUAUGUAUGUAUGUAUGUAUGUAUGAUGCUAGCAUUUGUGUUUGGAAGUGUUUCUUUCUUUUCUUUUUUUUUAAUAAAAUCACUUUUAUAAAACUACUUAUAUCCCUACCUAUUAAUAAUCACCUUGAUUGUAAAUUUGUGAUAUGUGUAUUGUAAUAUAAUAACUGAAAUAAUCGCACUUCAGUAUUAUUUUCGAUCUAAAGAGUAUUUCACGAAAAGGAAAAAAAAUUGUUAAUUAGUUCUGAUCUGAAAAUUUAAUGCCAAAAUCACUCUAAAGUAGAUAUUAAUUCUUGCAUUAACCUAACAAAAAUAUCUCGAGAUUAAGAAAAACGUUAUGUGUUGUUUAAUUACAUUUUAACAGUAUUAAAAAUUCUCUCCAACCCACCUACAUCUAUUAAAUAAAUUAAAAAAGGGAAAAAUGUAUUAGCUCUUGGGCCUUAGCUUCAUGAUAAAUUUGAGACACGCAUCACUUUGCCUACAUAUAAAAGGACACGCAUGUAGAUAAAAAGGUUCUUAUCCCGUGACCAAUUAAAUAUAAUUCGUGUAUACAUGCCAAUAUGGCGCUAUCGAUUGAUAAUCAAACAAUAUUAUCUCAUCAUGCUAUACAAUAAUAUUAAGUUGACAAAAUUAUUCCGAAAAUGAUUUAGCUACAUUAAUAAUAUUAGUCUCUAAUGAUGCUGAGAUCAAUCAUACAUAUGCCAUGUCGCAAUAUUCGAAUCAAGUAAUUAUUUAUUGCUUAGAAAAUUAAAAUAUGCUGAUACACGUUCAAAAUAAUGUUAGAAAAUAAGUAGCCCAAUUCUCAGUGUAUAUGUAUCUUCCAAAUUUCUACCUUCAAUUUUGAUUUAAAAGAGAUUUGGUUCAUUGCAAAGUUAAAAGAUAUAUCAAGUGAAUAAAUAGCUUCAUCAUCGACUUAUUAUUAUGUACAAUGUACUGUUCUCGAACCACACAUCAUCUCAUACAAGAAUUUCAAACGAAAUGGGAAUAACUUGACCAAAUCAAAAUCUAAUUGUCAUGUGAAAGAGAUACAUUCGAGUUGCUAUUGAUGGCCACAAUAUUGAAGCCUUUUGAGUUCAUCCCUUUCAAAUUUGUUCGUCGUCUUUCUUUUUAUACCAUACCAGCUAUUACCAACCAAAACAAGAUUACAUGUAUUCAGCUUGUUCGGAAGUGAUGACUUUCAUGCGUAUCCCGUUUUGUAAUUCACAUGCAUAUAAAAAAACUUGCGUUUGCUUCUACAGGAAAAAAAUUAACGAGGAUAUUUCCCAAUUUCGGUAAUGGAAUCUGGGUCGGUUGAAAAAUGACCUGGGAAAAGAGUUGUUGGACAAUAUAUCAGAGAUGAAAUGAAUCAUCUAUGUAAGCAUGCAAAUUUACAAGAUUUGAACUAUUCUCUUUCGCAACUGUCAUCACUAACCAUAAUUUCUAAGGCGGUGGGGAUAUUUUCACACUACUAUUUUUUUAUAAGUUCACCCAUUUC